This is a long non-coding RNA of Eubalaena glacialis (North Atlantic right whale), 2028 nucleotides long. RefSeq lists it as uncharacterized. The transcript is spliced from 8 exons. Lineage: Eukaryota; Metazoa; Chordata; Mammalia; Artiodactyla; Balaenidae. The record is from RefSeq and is a predicted model, not a curated record.
CUCUUACCCUUUAUCUGAGAUACCGGCGGAUUUUGCCAGCCUCCUCGAAUUCUUCUUACCUUUUGUCCUGCGUUACACGCCGGGGAAAGGAAUUCUGGGAUCGUGUGUUAUGCUGAUGCAAAAUGUUUUUAAGAAGUAAAGAAGUUGUAAAACAAUGGAUACAAGUGUAUAUUUAUAAUACAAGAAAUGACGAUUCUGAAAAAGAAGCUGAUGACCAGAAUAAGGGAUAGGAAGAUGACCUGUUUGCUUGAAGAGCGAGGGAGAGUAAUAGCUCAGAGAAUCUCUGAAAAAGAUCUCUAGAAAAGACAAGGAAACAGAUUAUCCCCUAGAGCCUCCAGAAGGUGUACCCAACAUGGUUCUCACUGGAAUUACAGCAAAUUGGAAGACAGUGGUGGUGACACAGGGUGAAGAACUACUUUUCAGAGGGUGAAACACAAGACUGGCUUUUAGGAAUUUUCCCCCAAAGUAAUUUGUGACUGGAUCCUGUUGCCGAAACUUGGCCUCUGUUCACCGGUGCCGAAGAGGAACGCGGAGACAGAGUUUUGGGUGAAGUAGAAAAGAGUAGCUUUUAUUGCUUUGCCAGGCAGAGGGGGCCACGGCGGGCUAAUGCCCUCAAGACUGUGUGACCCACCCUCGAGGGCGUAGUGAGGAGUCUUACAGUGUCCGAGGAGCAGGGCGUGAUCAGCUCGCGGACAGUUCUCAGACUGGCUGGCAUCAAGGGGAAGUUUCAAGCGUCAUCAACUUUCUGGUUUCAACCAGUCCAGGGUCUAUGUGCUUGUGGGCAGCACUUUCCAUCUGGAGGGGGUCUGCUCCCUGUAAAACCACUUAGGAGUGUGUGUCAGGCCUUUAUCUGAAGCUUCAGUGAACUGGGAGUUCGGUGAUUCUGCCAUGUGGCGGAUUUAUAGUCUAAAUUGUUGCCCGUUCCCCAGCCCAACAGCUGUUCUUUGUUUCUACACCUUCACAUUCCCUAAUCAUUAACUCUUGAGUCAGCACUUUACUUCAAAAGACAAGGACACGGGGGCUCGUACACGGUUUCAACCCUGACCAAGUCUGAGAUUUACACGAUGCAUAUGCUGUUGUUUUCAUAAAUGUUAACGUCCAUAAAAUGAAGUUCUUAAAAGCAUUAUUUGAGUUCUCCAUUGAUUACUGAUUGUAUCAUCAAUACCUUCCAGCCCUGGCAGCACAGGGAGGAAGGAAGAAUUGCUGGGAUGCUUGCAUCACCACAGGGCAAGAGGUCCUCAAAUUUUACUGCUUUAUCUUUAAGUAAUACUUCAUAGUUCGGCUGACUUUUCAUCCAUUCUGCUGAUUCUGCCAGUGAGUUCCUCUGUAGUGACAGCCAAAGGCACUUACGGAAAAUACGUAAACAACCAAGUGUAAAAGCAGAAGUCGAGGUCACUUCAUCUACUACGGAAGUGGGACAUGUGUCUACCUCAGGCCUGAGUCUUCUGAUGGGCCUUUUGGUAAUUGGUGGCGGUGGUGGUGACAAUGUUUGAGUUGUUUUAUUUUUUAUUUUAUUUUUAUCUUUAUUUUAUUUAUUUAUUUUUUUGGCCACGCCGGCGGGGCCUGCGGGAUCUUAGUUCCCCGACCACGGAUCGAACCCGUGCCCCCUGCAGUGGAAGCUCACAGUCUAAACCCUGGACCGCCAGGGAAGUCCUGGUGUAUUGUAUUCUCCCUUCAGGAGGGCUGGAUUCUGCAGGUUCUCUCUUGUGGGUAAGAAGAAUGAUGAAGGAAUAUACAAGGUGCCUUAAAAAACAUAAAAGAAGGAUAUUUGGAACAUUCUUGAAGGUUAGGGGCCAAUUCCCAGAAGCAAUGAUAACUAAAGAGACGACUUCUUGGUUUUAUCCCUGCCGUACCCUCUGCUUCUCAACUGCAACAGCAUAUGCAAGAAGACAAUGUGGAGGGAGGGGCAAGAUGGCGGAAGAGUAAGACGCGGAGAUCACCUUCCUCCCCACAGAUACAUGAGAAAUACAUCUACACGUGGAACUGCUCCUACAGAACACCCACUGAACGCUGGCAGAAGACGUCAGA